GACGGAGGGCGCAAGCGUUGUUCGGAAUUACUGGGCGUAAAGCGCGCGCAGGCGGGAAGGUAAGUCUGGAGUGAAAUUCCGGGGCUCAACUCCGGAGCUGCUUUGGAUACUGUCUUUCUAGGGACCGGUAGAGGCCGGUGGAAUUCCCGGUGUAGCGGUGGAAUGCGUAGAGAUCGGGAAGAACACCCGUGGCGAAGGCGGCCGGCUGGGCCGGAUCCGACGCUGAGGCGCGAAAGCUAGGGGAGCAAACGGG
This 253-nucleotide ribosomal RNA is filed under the name uncultured bacterium. RNAcentral describes it as "partial 16S ribosomal RNA". It matches the Rfam family "Bacterial small subunit ribosomal RNA", at positions 524 to 776 of the family's 1533-position model. The record is from RNAcentral.